UACGAAGGGGGCUAGCGUUGUUCGGAAUCACUGGGCGUAAAGGGCGCGUAGGCGGCUUUAUAAGUCGGGGGUGAAAGCCUGUGGCUCAACCACAGAAUUGCCUUCGAUACUGUAGAGCUUGAGACCGGAAGAGGUUAGUGGAACUGCGAGUGUAGAGGUGAAAUUCGUAGAUAUUCGCAAGAACACCAGUGGCGAAGGCGGCUGACUGGUCCGGAUCUGACGCUGAGGCGCGAAAGCGUGGGGAGCAAACAGG
RNAcentral lists this ribosomal RNA (253 nucleotides) under uncultured bacterium. RNAcentral's name for it is "partial 16S ribosomal RNA". It matches the Rfam family "Bacterial small subunit ribosomal RNA", at positions 524 to 776 of the family's 1533-position model. The record is from RNAcentral.